This is a long non-coding RNA of Selaginella moellendorffii, 1535 nucleotides long. RefSeq lists it as uncharacterized. Lineage: Eukaryota; Viridiplantae; Streptophyta; Lycopodiopsida; Selaginellales; Selaginellaceae. The transcript has 6 exons. The record is from RefSeq and is a predicted model, not a curated record.
AUUAGGGCAUUUGAGCUAUGGCGUGGUGGCAUAGCAUGGUCCCGAUGGGCAUCAUUGGCGGCGCUCUCUUUCUGAUGGGCUAUCUUCCUCAUAUGGCUCAUGUCAAGACCAUGGGCAAGCCCAAGCCCGUGAGGAACGAUAAAUGGGACAAGCUCAUGGACGACAGGGAUAGGCGCAUAAUUGAGAAAGCCCAGCAGCAGGAAGCCCAAGCUGCCGCCUAGCACUGGCCAGGAAUCUUUUGUUUGUAAGAACUUUCUUGUGUUUCAUAAGAACUUCCAGCCUUUCGGUCGAGAACUAUUUCUUCUCAUUCGAUUUCCAUUCGUCCGGUGGAAAUUUCACGUUGUUCUCUUGGAUUUCUGCCUGUGAAGGAUCGGUUUCUUUGUUCCAGAGAGCUCAAAAUCCUCGCCAAGAUUCUCAAGCCUUUGAACACCUUGGUCUCGACUUGCAUGGUCUUGGUGAAAAAAUACUGCCAGCUCAAGUACGCGGCCACAAGGCUGCUGAAAGUAGCGGCCCCGACGAGCAUGUUCAUCACCACCAUCUGGAGACGCACAGCUUCCAGCGGCGACGCGCCACCCAUGAUAAGUCCCGUCAUCGCACCAGGCAGCGAGAUUAAUCCCACCGUUUUCGUGUUGUCCAGGACGGGACUCAAGGCCAGUAUCAAAGUUCUCUUCAUCGGUCGCUUGAUCGCCUGGCUCGGCGUCGCUCCAAGAGCUAGAGCCGUUUCAACCUGGAAGAACAAAAGGUUGUCUCGCAGGUUUUUCAUGGCGACCCCGGUGACUGUCAUGGAGUUUCCAACCAUCAUUCCACUCACCGGGAUCAUGUAGCGGGGCGUGAGAGGAAACACUCGAAGCAGCAGUAGCAGCGCAAGCGUAACACCAGUGCCGAUGAAGAUGGAGAUUCCAGCGAUGUAUGGACUUCGUGGGACGUGUCUUGCUCGUCGCCCCGCCGUGUAUCCCGCGACGAUCACCUACAAGGAGAAAGAAGAGAUCUUACCAUGAAGGUGUAAGCCACGAAGAUCCAGACGGCGUUCUUCUGCUCGAAGAUGAACUGGAGGAUGAAGCCGAUGAGGGCGAGCUGGACGAAGGCUCUGGCGAUGGAGGUGACCAUCUCCUGCUCCAGUUGAAGCCGCUGGACGAGCGACAGCGCGAUCGCCAUGCCGACAAUCGCCAGCGCCGCCACCGGCUUGAGCAUUCCCGCCGCAAACUCCUCGAAAGCAUUCCUCGCGAGAACCUCCAGGAUCAUCCUCGCUACUCUCUCUUUCUCUCUCGACACUGGAACGAGGAAGCCGGAUCGUUCCAAAGGAACUCGCUUUAUUCUCGUGGCGAGCACGAGCAAUGACAGCCGUCCAUUCCAAGAGCUUGCGAGGAUCCUGGCCGCAAACGUUAACAACAGCCAUUGACAGUUACCACCUAUCUCCACGGAGGCUACGACCUUGCGGUAGACAAGGAUAUCUUUUUCCCGUACAUGGUAUGUGGACUCUAACGUAAGAGAUUUGAUCGGACGUUACUCCAAAAUCUAUAAUUUUUCAUUCCUUA